This 74-nucleotide small RNA is filed under the name Shimwellia blattae DSM 4481 = NBRC 105725. RNAcentral describes it as "Escherichia blattae DSM 4481 Enterobacterial sRNA STnc240". It matches the Rfam family "Enterobacterial sRNA STnc240". Lineage: Bacteria; Pseudomonadati; Pseudomonadota; Gammaproteobacteria; Enterobacterales; Enterobacteriaceae. The record is from Rfam by way of RNAcentral.
CAGAAAUGGGGCAAAAUACGCGCCCGGUAAAAUGGAAUAUGGCCGACGUUUAAACGCGUCGGUUAUUUUUUUAC